UGAGGAAUAUUGGUCAAUGGACGCAAGUCUGAACCAGCCAUGCCGCGUGAAGGAUGAAGGCCUUCUGGGUUGUAAACUUCUUUUAUCAGGGAAGAAAAUUACGGUUUCUACUGUAACCGACGGUACCUGAGGAAUAAGCACCGGCUAACUCCGUGCCAGCAGCCGCGGUAAUACGGAGGGUGCAAGCGUUAUCCGGAUUCACUGGGUUUAAAGGGUGUGUAGGCGGAUAUUUAAGUCAGUGGUGAAAUCUCCGGGCUCAACCCGGAAACUGCCAUUGAUACUAUUUAUCUUGAAUACUGUUGAGGUAGGCGGAAUAUAUCAUGUAGCGGUGAAAUGCUUAGAUAUGAUAUAGAACACCGAUUGCGAAGGCAGCUUACUAAGCAGUUAUUGACGCUGAGGC
This 400-nucleotide ribosomal RNA is filed under the name uncultured bacterium. RNAcentral's name for it is "bacterial SSU rRNA". It matches the Rfam family "Bacterial small subunit ribosomal RNA", at positions 355 to 752 of the family's 1533-position model. The record is from RNAcentral.